AUUUGACUGGCUUUAAAAAAAAAAAAAAUUAAAAAAUAAAAGACUCAACUCAGGCUCUAACUACUCUAUGAAGCUUCUAUGACCUUCAGGUCCUCCCAAUAUAGCAGAUAUCCCACCCAAUUAUAAUUGUCUGUACCUCCCCUGACCCAUCCCCAACAAUAUGGAGAGCUUUUUGAGGGUAGACAUUGUAUCUGAUUCAUUUUUGUGACCUCAGUGCCUAGGGCUUGACUUGGCAUGGAAUAGUAUUUACUUAAUAAUGAAUGAACAUUCUUUUGUCUCCACCUCAAUUUGUCUCAUCCUUUCCUCUCACCCCCUCAGAUGCCUCGCCUCUUGCCUGUCCAUUCUCAGUCUUCCAUCUCCAGCCUCUUCCUCCACUGGAUCUAAGGCGCUUAAGGAUGACGGGGAGAUGGAGGAAAAACCCAUAUUUGAGGCAGGUAAAUGCCACUGUAUGCUGGACACUGGGCGAGGCCUUGGAUAUACAGCAGUAAAGACGACAAUCAUGAUCUCUGCCUUUGCUGAGUUAGCAGUCUCUUCCUUUUCAUAAACAGCAUUUGCCAGGACAUCAAGUAAUAAGUUAACAGCAGCUCUGGUCACGGGCUUCCUUAUCUUAUUCCUGAUCUUAAGAGGUGUGCACUUAAAGUUUUUCUAUUAAACAUAAU
Molecule: non-coding RNA, 659 nt
Organism: Microcebus murinus (gray mouse lemur)
Lineage: Eukaryota; Metazoa; Chordata; Mammalia; Primates; Cheirogaleidae
Source: RefSeq, a predicted model, not a curated record